This 278-nucleotide ribosomal RNA is filed under the name uncultured prokaryote. Its description in RNAcentral is "partial 16S ribosomal RNA". It matches the Rfam family "Bacterial small subunit ribosomal RNA", at positions 524 to 801 of the family's 1533-position model. The record is from RNAcentral.
UACGUAGGGGGCAAGCGUUAUCCGGAUUUACUGGGUGUAAAGGGAGCGUAGACGGUAUGGUAAGUCAGAUGUGAAAGCCCGGGGCUCAACCCCGGGACUGCAUUUGAAACUAUCAAACUGGAGUGCAGGAGAGGUAAGUGGAAUUCCUAGUGUAGCGGUGAAAUGCGUAGAUAUUAGGAGGAACACCAGUGGCGAAGGCGGCUUACUGGACUGUAACUGACGUUGAGGCUCGAAAGCGUGGGGAGCAAACAGGAUUAGAUACCCCCGUAGUCCCUGAG